Hordeum vulgare subsp. vulgare (domesticated barley) is the source of this 436-nucleotide long non-coding RNA. RefSeq lists it as uncharacterized. The record is from RefSeq and is a predicted model, not a curated record. The transcript is spliced from 2 exons. Lineage: Eukaryota; Viridiplantae; Streptophyta; Magnoliopsida; Poales; Poaceae.
UUCUGAGUCAAGUUGGUCUUGACAGAAACCAAGCAGAAGCGAAGGGUUUCAAACAAUUCAAUUCCUGUUCUUGCGAGGUUAGAGACGUAUCAGUAUUCAGAAAGAGGCUGACCGGUUCCAAUCACGCAGAGAAGUUUCUCCAUCUUGUUAAGCUACCACUGGCGAGAUUUCUGGAAUUUGGUUGAGCCUAGACUGACACGUACCCGCCAACGCCCAACGCUAUUGGUAGGAAGGGAUUUUGACUUAGGAGCACCACUGGACUAAACAGUCGGCUUGGACGGCACGUGCAUUUUUUCCCCUGUUAGCUUGAGUAGGGUGUAGAACAUAGUAGAGAUGUCGUUCCGAAGCAAGAUGGGGCUCCGAUUCAAACGGGAGAAAAAGGGAUGAGAUUCUUUCUUGUAUGUGAAAAAUAUUACUCAUAUUUUUUUUUCUGAAA